RNAcentral lists this long non-coding RNA (716 nucleotides) under Lupinus angustifolius (narrow-leaved blue lupine). Its description in RNAcentral is "long non-coding RNA (LANG_LNC001340)". Lineage: Eukaryota; Viridiplantae; Streptophyta; Magnoliopsida; Fabales; Fabaceae. The record is from RNAcentral.
UCAAAUUAGAGAAAUGAUCAUGUGAUUAAAUUCUCAUUGUUCAUUCUUCAAAAAAAUGUAAUAUAAAUUAAUGAAAGAUAAUGUACUGACUUUAUAUAAAUCUUUAUAAUUAUGGAUAGUGCAUACACAUUUUUACUCAUGAAAUUAAUACAAGUAAAUCAACAAUCCAAUUGAACAAAGAACACAUAAAAACUGAGGUAGAAGACUGACAUAAGUAAUACCAAUGGUUCUAUUUCUACAUAAAAGCAGACAAGGAGGGUAACAUACAUAUCAAUUGGGAAAGGAAAGUGAAAGGAGUUGUUUUUGUUGUGCCUAAAUUCCAAGACAUAAUUAAUGAAACACAAAACUUGGAACAUAUAACAGAUAUACUAAACAACAUGAUGCAAACCCAAGAAAUUAAAGGAGAAUAAAAUUAAGCCAAGCAUCAGACUUGCCUAGAGGGAACAUAUAUAUUAUUUUAUAUAUUCCUCAGGUAUCUACUUCGUUUCUUCUUGUUGUAUUAUUUGGCCAUGGAUCCAACAACAGCAUGAACCCCAGAAGAAAGUAGUUGUAAGGUGAUGUUGUUUUCAACCUUAAGAGGCUCAUCAUCAUCUUUCCCGCAGAAUUAUUAGAAGGGGGAGAAGAAGUAGUAACAAGGAGUUGAGGGCGAAAGAGAACCUUAUAUACAUGGGACAUUGUUUUCAUAAGUAGACGGAUGGAAAAAAAAUGAUUUUUUA